ACGAACGCUGGCGGCGUGCUUAACACUUGCCAGUCGAACGGAAAGGCCCUGCUUUUGUGGGGUGCUCGAGUGGCGAACGGGUGAGUAACACGUGAGUAACCUGCCCUUGACUUUGGGAUAACUUCAGGAAACUGGGGCUAAUACCGGAUAGGAGCUCCUGCUGCAUGGUGGGGGUUGGAAAGUUUCGGCGGUUGGGGAUGGACUCGCGGCUUAUCAGCUUGUUGGUGGGGUAGUGGCUUACCAAGGCUUUGACGGGUAGCCGGCCUGAGAGGGUGACCGGCCACAUUGGGACUGAGAUACGGCCCAGACUCCUACGGGAGGCAGCAGUGGGGAAUAUUGCACAAUGGGCGGAAGCCUGAUGCAGCAACGCCGCGUGCGGGAUGACGGCCUUCGGGUUGUAAACCGCUUUCGCCUGUGACGAAGCGUGAGUGACGGUAAUGGGUAAAGAAGCACCGGCUAACUACGUG
This 467-nucleotide ribosomal RNA is filed under the name uncultured bacterium. RNAcentral's name for it is "partial 16S ribosomal RNA". It matches the Rfam family "Bacterial small subunit ribosomal RNA", at positions 29 to 507 of the family's 1533-position model. The record is from RNAcentral.